GUCUGGAGCGCCGUCCUGCUGCCCCCGCCCUUCCUUUCUCGUGCUCCCGGCCGGCGGCCUCCUCUUUCCCCAAGUUUCCACGUGUGGGAAAUGGGGGUAAUGGCCGGGGGGUCGGCCCGUUCCCGGCUGGGUGACUUUGGGCAGGUUCACACUUCGAAGUGCACACUUGCGUGAAAAACGAUGGUUGUGGGAGGUCAGCGCAUGUGUGCGUUCACGUUAGCGAUCAACAAACGAUUCAGGAUUCUGAGAUCUGCUUUUCUUCGUUGGAAGAGGAGUCGGUAUUCACACCGCCCUGCAUGAAGCCUGUCCUGUCAGGCUCCACAUCCAACACGGAGCCCAAUGCAAGACUUGAACUCAUGACCCUGAGAUCAAGACCUGAGCUGAGGUCAAGAGUCAGAUGUUUAACCCAGAAACAAAAGUGAUGUGACCACAGAGCUGACACAUUUCAAGAUGCUGGCAUUAAAAACCAGAGCGAUGCAGCCACAAACCAAGGAGAAACAGCCGACACCAGAAGCUGGAAGAGUCAGGGAACAGUGUCUCCCCUGGAGCCCCCAGAAGGAGUACAGCCCUGUCAACACCUUACUUUGCCCCAGUGAUACUGAUUUUGGACUCCGGGCCCCCAGAACUGAGAGAAUAAAUUUCUGUUUGUUUUAAGCCACCAAGUCUGUGGUAAUUUGCCACAAGAGCUUUAGGAGACCAGUCUACCAUGUAGAACCAGCCACGUGCCCCCAUCUGUCUGGCUCAGGUAGGCAGCCCGGGAUUGGAGGGAGCCUCCCUGCCAAUGUCAGGUGAGCCCAGCACUGCUUACAGUAAGCACUCAGGAGAAGCACUCCCCUUCCCCCCAGGGAGACAUGGGGUGAGCAGGUGGAACAGUCAGGAAGGGCCUUGGCAGAAGAAGCAACCACAGCAGGGCUGACACUUCCCUCCCUACCACGAGACACGGGGCAGCGAGGCCUGGGGAAACCCCUUCUAGCCCCCGAAGACCCAGUGAUACCAGAUAAACCACAAUGAGCAAAAUAAUACAGCGAAGGCUCUGAACACUAAGCUGUCAUUGGAACCACAGCUCCCCAAAAUAGUCCAGCACCUGCACGGUAAACCUGAACAGGGUGCCUGCCUGCUAAAAUAAAGGGUUUGAAUAGGACCCGGGGUUCCCAAACAUAAUAGACAAGAUGACAAGGAUAUGCCUAAAAUCACCCACCCUAAUAAGAACCCAGAAAACCGCAACUUGAGUGAGAAAAACAAAUCGAUUGACUCUAGUACUGAGAUGAAUCCGAUGUUGGAAUUAUCCGAGAAGGUCUGAAAGCAACCAUCAUUUAAAACGAUUUUUUUUAAUGUUUACUUACUUCUGAGAAAGAGAGAGAGAGAGACAGAGCAUGAGCAGGGGAGGGGCAGAAAGAGAGGGAGACACAGAAUCCAAAGCAGGCUCCAGGCUCUGAGCUGUUAGCGUAGAGCCCGACGCGGGGCUCCAACUCAUAAGCCCUGAGAUCAUGACCUGAGCCGAAGUUGGACGUUCAACCACCUAAGCCACUCAGGCGCUCCUGAAAGCAGCCAUCCUAAAAAUGCUUCAACAAUCAAUUAGAAAUUGCCUUGAAAUGAAGGGAAAAAAUAGAUGAUAAUCUCAGCAAUGAAAUAGACAUUAUAGAAAAGCAGUAAAAAGAGCUGUUAGUAAGAACUAUGUUAAAUUUAAUAUGGAUACAGAUGGUUACGUGCAGAAAUAUUUAUGGCUAUGUGUAUAUUACAGAUUAGUAUACACACAUAUAUUUCUUUGCUCUGUUGGCUGCCAGGGCCUAAAAGACACGCAAAGAGCAAGAACACACUUAGCACCCAGACCUUGGUUUCUA
This is a long non-coding RNA of Panthera uncia (snow leopard), 1841 nucleotides long. RefSeq lists it as uncharacterized. Lineage: Eukaryota; Metazoa; Chordata; Mammalia; Carnivora; Felidae. The record is from RefSeq and is a predicted model, not a curated record. The transcript has 3 exons.